This 253-nucleotide ribosomal RNA is filed under the name uncultured bacterium. RNAcentral's name for it is "partial 16S ribosomal RNA". It matches the Rfam family "Bacterial small subunit ribosomal RNA", at positions 524 to 776 of the family's 1533-position model. The record is from RNAcentral.
GACGUAGGGUGCGAGCGUUGUCCGGAUUUAUUGGGCGUAAAGCGCGUGUAGGCGGCUUGGCAAGUCCGCUGUGAAAACUCGAGGCUCAACCUCGAGAUGUCGGUGGAAACUGCCUGGCUAGAGUCCGGAAGAGGAGUGUGGAAUUCCUGGUGUAGCGGUGAAAUGCGCAGAUAUCAGGAAGAACACCUAUGGCGAAGGCAGCACUCUGGGACGGUACUGACGCUGAGACGCGAAAGCGUGGGGAGCGAACAGG